Molecule: ribosomal RNA, 395 nt
Filed under: uncultured bacterium
Lineage: Bacteria
Description: bacterial SSU rRNA
Rfam family: Bacterial small subunit ribosomal RNA
Source: RNAcentral
GACGAACGCUGGCGGCGUGCUUAACACAUGCAAGUCGAGCGGUAAGGCCCGUUUCGGGGGUACACGAGCGGCGAACGGGUGAGUAACACGUGGGUGACCUGCCCUUAGCUCUGGGAUAAGCCUGGGAAACUGGGUCUAAUACCGGAUAUGACUCCAUGACGCAUGUUGGUGGGGUGGAAAGCCUUGUGCGGCUAGGGAUGGGCCCGCGGCCUAUCAGCUUGUUGGUGGGGUGAUGGCCUACCAAGGCGACGACGGGUAGCCGGCCUGAGAGGGCGACCGGCCACACUGGGACUGAGACACGGCCCAGACUCCUACGGGAGGCAGCAGGUGGGGAAUCUUGCGCAAUGGGACGAAAGCCUGACGCAGCGACGCCGCGUGAGGGAUGACGGCCUGGU